AGAGUUUGAUCAUGGCUCAGGACGAACGCUGGCGGCGUGCCUAAUACAUGCAAGUCGAGCGAGCGGAACCAACAGAUUUACUUCGGUAAUGACGUUGGGAAAGCGAGCGGCGGGUGGGUGAGUAACACGUGGGGAACCUGCCCCUAAGUCUGGGAUACCAUUUGGAAACAGGUGCUAAUACCGGAUAAUAAAGCAGAUCGCAUGAUCAGCUUUUGAAAGGCGGCGUAAGCUGUCGCUAAGGGAUGGCCCCGCGGUGCAUUAGCUAGUUGGUAAGGUAACGGCUUACCAAGGCGACGAUGCAUAGCCGAGUUGAGAGACUGAUCGGCCACAUUGGGACUGAGACACGGCCCAAACUCCUACGGGAGGCAGCAGUAGGGAAUCUUCCACAAUGGACGCAAGUCUGAUGGAGCAACGCCGCGUGAGUGAAGAAGGUUUUUGGAUCGUAAAGCUCUGUUGUUGGUGAAGAAGGAUAGAGGUAGUAACUGGCCUUUAUCUGACGGUAAUCAACCAGAAAGUCACGGCUAACUGCGUGCCAGCAGCCGCGGUAAUACGUAGGUGGCAAGCGUUGUCCGGAUUUAUUGGGCGUAAAGCGAGCGCAGGCGGAAAAAUAAGUCUAAUGUGAAAGCCCUCGGCUUAACCGAGGAACUGCAUCGGAAACUGUUUUUCUUGAGUGCAGAAGAGGAGAGUGGAACUCCAUGUGUAGCGGUGAAAUGCGUAGAUAUAUGGAAGAACACCAGUGGCGAAAGCGGCUCUCUGGUCUGCAACUGACGCUGAGGCUCGAAAGCAUGGGUAGCGAACAGGAUUAGAUACCCUGGUAGUCCAUGCCAUAAACGAUGAGUGCUAAGUGUUGGGAGGUUUCCGCCUCUCAGUGCUGCAGCUAACGCAUUAAGCACUCCGCCUGGGGAGUACGACCGCAAGGUUGAAACUCAAAGGAAUUGACGG
This 942-nucleotide ribosomal RNA is filed under the name uncultured bacterium. RNAcentral's name for it is "bacterial SSU rRNA". It matches the Rfam family "Bacterial small subunit ribosomal RNA", at positions 8 to 916 of the family's 1533-position model. The record is from RNAcentral.